AUUGAACGCUGGCGGCAGGCCUAACACAUGCAAGUCGAACGGUAACAGGAAGCAGCUUGCUGCUUUGCUGACGAGUGGCGGACGGGUGAGUAAUGUCUGGGAAACUGCCCGAUGGAGGGGGAUAACUACUGGAAACGGUAGCUAAUACCGCAUAACGUCGCAAGACCAAAGAGGGGGACCUUAGGGCCUCUUGCCAUCGGCUGUGCCCAGAUGGGAUUAGCUAGUAGGUGGGGUAACGGCUCACCUAGGCGACGAUCCCUAGCUGGUCUGAGAGGAUGACCAGCCACACUGGAACUGAGACACGGUCCAGACUCCUACGGGAGGCAGCAGUGGGGAAUAUUGCACAAAGGGCGGAAGCCUGAUGGAGCCAUGCCGCGUGUGUGAAGAAGGGCUUCGGGUUGUAAAGUACUUUCAGCGGGGAGGAAGGGAGGAAAGUUUAAACCUGUGCUCAUUGACGUUACCCGCAGAAGAAGCACCGGCUAACUCCGUG
Molecule: ribosomal RNA, 490 nt
Filed under: uncultured bacterium
Lineage: Bacteria
Description: partial 16S ribosomal RNA
Rfam family: Bacterial small subunit ribosomal RNA
Source: RNAcentral